GUUCCACUUACUUGUUGUAGCAGGGGUCUAGAAGUAAUGAUACACACAGAAACAUGUGACAAAGCUGCACUUUCACGGCAAAAGUCGUGCAGCUCCUGUCAUGGAAACUUGUUGAUGCCAUCUUUUGCCCAGUGUCAGCUCUGGUCAGCUGCAGCUGCCUGCAGCCCUCAGAGGAGAACAUGUGAUCAAAAAACAGCUCUAAACAGUGACAAUUCAUCAAUGAAAGGUCUCCUUUGCAGCGCUGCAUGAGAAAAGCCGUCCUGUUCCACGCUCACUGCGAGGGUCACCACGAAAGAGGAGCCUUGGCCCUGAACCACUACCACCACCACGUCUUCCAUCCUGGGGAGCGUUUUCUGCAAGCGAUGAAGAAACCAAUAAACAGACUCUCGCUGUGAUCCAUGUCACAUUGUUUGGCCCACCUGCAACCUGUAAACUCCUCACCAUGGACUGGAUGUUCUCAAUUUGUUCCAUGAGGAGGCCCUGGCUUAUAUUAGCCUAAAGGGGGCACUGGAAGAGCAUCUGGUCCGAGCGGCAACACAGCAGCACACUUGCUGGCUCUGGCUUCAGUUUCAAGUCAAUUAACAAAACCCGGGAAAAAAAACACAAGACGGGGAGCAGAACUUCUGUCAGAGAGCGGGGCGGAUCAGGGCACAAUGAUGGUUUUAAGUGCUCGAACACUUUGCACAAAUAGUAUUUGUUGAUGUAGUAAUUUCCAAGAAGUGGGGGCUUAGUUCAUGUGAAAUAACUGGGAAAAGCACUACGAUAAUGACAGAAAUAAACAGUCUAAAACUUU
Long non-coding RNA from Notolabrus celidotus (New Zealand spotty), 793 nucleotides. RefSeq lists it as uncharacterized. The transcript has 4 exons. The record is from RefSeq and is a predicted model, not a curated record. Lineage: Eukaryota; Metazoa; Chordata; Actinopteri; Labriformes; Labridae.